AAGGAGAGCUCACCAUGUCGCCGGUCC
RNAcentral lists this small RNA (27 nucleotides) under Bombyx mori (domestic silkworm). Its description in RNAcentral is "ovarian small RNA-10629". The record is from RNAcentral. Lineage: Eukaryota; Metazoa; Arthropoda; Insecta; Lepidoptera; Bombycidae.